ACGAACGCUGGCGGCAUGCCUAACCCCUGCAAGUCGCACGAGACCUUCGGGUCUAGUGGCGCACGGGUGCGUAACGCGUGGGAACCUGCCCUUAGGUUCGGAAUAACUCCCCGAAAGGGGUGCUAAUACCGGAUAAUGUCUUCGGACCAAAGAUUUAUCGCCUUUGGAUGGGCCCGCGUUGGAUUAGCUAGUUGGUAGGGUAAAAGCCUACCAAGGCGACGAUCCAUAGCUGGUCUGAGAGGAUGAUCAGCCACACUGGGACUGAGACACGGCCCAGACUCCUACGGGAGGCAGCAGUGGGGAAUAUUGGACAAUGGGCGAAAGCCUGAUCCAGCAAUGCCGCGUGAGUGAUGAAGGCCUUAGGGUUGUAAAGCUCCUUUACCCGGGAUGAUAAUGACAGUACCGGGAGAAUAAGCUCCGGCUAACUCCGUG
This 432-nucleotide ribosomal RNA is filed under the name uncultured bacterium. RNAcentral's name for it is "partial 16S ribosomal RNA". It matches the Rfam family "Bacterial small subunit ribosomal RNA", at positions 29 to 507 of the family's 1533-position model. The record is from RNAcentral.